This 257-nucleotide ribosomal RNA is filed under the name uncultured prokaryote. RNAcentral's name for it is "partial 16S ribosomal RNA". It matches the Rfam family "Bacterial small subunit ribosomal RNA", at positions 524 to 780 of the family's 1533-position model. The record is from RNAcentral.
UACGGAGGAUCCGAGCGUUAUCCGGAAUUAUUGGGUUUAAAGGGUGCGUAGGCGGCCAUUUAAGUCAGCGGUGAAAUUUUGCAGCUUAACUGUAACAGUGCCGUUGAUACUGUUUGGCUAGGAUUUGGUUGUAGUGUGCGGAAUGUGUGGUGUAGCGGUGAAAUGCUUAGAUAUCACACAGAACACCGAUUGCGAAGGCAGCACACUAAGUCAUUAUUGACGCUGAGGCACGAAAGUGUGGGGAUCAAGCAGGAUUA